Diospyros lotus (date-plum) is the source of this 5739-nucleotide RNA transcript. RefSeq lists it as uncharacterized. Lineage: Eukaryota; Viridiplantae; Streptophyta; Magnoliopsida; Ericales; Ebenaceae. The record is from RefSeq and is a predicted model, not a curated record. The transcript is spliced from 10 exons.
CUCUGCUUCUGCUCGGAGAAUACGCCGAAGAAUUCUCCAAAAUCACUGAAGACGCCGCCGCCGUUCUACUCGUCGUCGCCGCCGCUUCCGCUGAUCGCCGCAACCGCCGGAUCUGGUGGUCGAAGCUGUCUUCCGCCGCGUCUGAAACUUCUCUUCUCCAUGCUCCUCUCUCAGAUUUCCUUCGCCACAUCUGGUGAAGCUUUUGAGGCUCGCCAGAUUUUUGGCGAUUGAGAUUUGGCUUGGCGAGUUGCGUUGGAGGCCUGAUUUUGGGGUUGGCUCCCUAUAUUUAGCUUGGCGAAUUGAAAUAGGGAAGCCGUUGGAGAUGGCCUAAUUUACCCAAUUCGAAGACAAUCUGAUUCAGCCUGGUCUCACGUUCGAGUCGUCGGAGAAACGAUAUUUGCUCCUAUGUCCUUCUCAGCGACGGCACUUUCACCGAGGGUUUUUCGAACAGUCAGCUGCUCUGGUCGUGUUCUCCGACGAUUCGUCCGGCGAAGCGCUAGUUAGUGUCCGUAUUUGUAUUGGUUAUUCCCGAAUGUUCCUCAAACUUCUUCUCCUUCAAUGUUCGAAUCAAUUUUCUCAGAUCUAACGGGGUAGAGAUAGUAGCCCUAACAGCUCUUUCGACGCCUAAUCCGACUACCGCUGAGUUUUUAAGGCAUUAGCUGUUACUCUGCAUCCUUUCUUCAAUAUGUCAUCUUCAAAUAGACUAUCAGCUGAAGUUGGGAACUUCAGUCAUCAAAAUGCUUUUCCUGUGGAAGCAAAUUUAUCUCAUUGCAGCGAAAGCCAUUUGGACCAAGAGGAUGAGGAAGAAGAUGAGGAACAGGAUGUAGAUUUCAACCCAUUUUUGAAAGAAUCCCCAUCUUUGGAAGCUUCUUCUGGCCUGAGUUCCGAAAUAGAAGUUUUGGAUGCUGAUAUCACUGAGGGUGAGGGAAACACAGAUGUAGCCCUUCCUGCUGAUUUCUCAUCAAUUCCAGCUGGUUUGCUGCAAGACUAUGCUCUUGGAGGUUCAGAGCAGACUGAACAGAUUGUAAGACAAACUAAAAUUUUAUCUGGGGAAACAGGUGAAAAAGAAUUUGAGAAAGCAACCCCUUCAAGAUUGAGGAAGAGAAACGCAGUUUUGAUUUCUCAACUUGAAAAUGAAAAUGAAACAUCUGAUAAUAAGGGGAUCUGUUCAAUAAGUGGGCUAGGUGCCAUUAAUGAUGUUAUGGACAGAGAUAUAACAAAUUCCGGGAAGCCAAUUAUGGAUAUAGAUGAUGAUGAUGCUAUCUUCAAGCGUACAAGGGCCCGCUAUUCACUUGCUAGCUUCACACUUGAUGAACUUGAGACUUUUCUUCAAGAAACAGAUGAUGAUGAGGAUCUUCAAAAUGUUGAUGAUGAGGAAGAGUACAGGAAAUUUCUUGCUGCUGUUUUACAGGGUGGUGAUGGUGAUAAUCAAAGUAGAGAAGGAAAUGGAAAUGUGGAUGAUGAAGAUGAAGAAAAUGACGCAGACUUUGAAUUAGAAAUUGAGGAGGCACUUGAAAGUGAUCUUGAUGAGAACACAAGGGGUGAUAACCAAGAAGAGCGUGAGGCAGCUGGUCGACGCCCUGAAACUAGGCUAAAUAGACGACAGAAAGCUUCUACCCAACAGAAACAUAAGCUUUUGGAACAGUCAAAUAGACCAUUGCGACCACUCUUACCAAAUGCACCUGUUGUGUCUUUCCCUAUGUUGAUACCUGAGACUGCUUCACACUCUUGGUCAUUCUCAGGACAUGAUGGCUCUAUGAAUGGAUUUACUCCGCAUCAGCUGGGUCAGUUGCAUUGUCUAAUACACGAACACGUGCAACUUCUUAUUCAGGUGUUUUCUCUUUGUGUUCUUGAUCCUUCUAGACAGCACAUUGCCUGCCAAGUUCAGAAAUUAAUUUCAGAGAUACUUCAUAAAAGAGAUCAAGAAAUAUCACGGAGAAGUGUGCCAUAUCCCUGUUUUUUCUUUUGCCCCCCUUACAUUAAUCCUUCCUUACAGUGUGGAUAUUCCAAAUCUUUGACAGCACCUUCCACCUCUGAGCCAGCAUGUUCUGUAGAUGAACAUAGAAAUUGCUCCUCUGGAACUAUUUCUCCUUCUAGAGGAAGUCGUGGGCAUGAUUCUACUGGGAAGGGGAGUCCUUCCCAAACUUUUGACAGUGCAUUCUGGGUGCCGUCUUUGAAUGGUCAAAUCCUAUCUGUUCUUGAUGUAGCUCCGCUUAGUUUACUUGGAAAAUAUAUGGAAGAUGUUUCUAUUGCUGUGCAAGAGCAUCAGAAACAAUGCAUUCAAGCUACUUGUGAUGAUCGCUUUAAAAAGGAACCUCUGUACCCUCUCCACUGUUUUCAGACAUUUUUGGAAGCUGAUAUGGAAGUUCUUAGAGGAACCACUUCGCCGGCUGCAAAGGCACCAUCUUAUCCUGUCAAUGAUCAACCACCCAAAAAGACUUUGGCUGCUUCACUUGUUGAAAGGACCAAGAAGCAACCAGUUGCUCUAGUUCCAAAGGAAAUUGCUGAUUUAGCGCAGAGAUUCUUGCCACUAUUUAAUUCAGCCCUAUUUCCUCAUAAGCCACCCCCAGGACCUGUUGCAAAUCGGGUGCUGUUCACAGAUGCAGAAGAUGAGUUACUUGCAUUGGGGUUGAUGGAAUAUAAUACAGACUGGAAAGCAAUUCAACAACGAUUUCUUCCUUGCAAAUCCAAGCAUCAGAUUUUUGUUAGGCAGAAAAAUCGUUCUUCUUCAAAAGCACCUGAAAAUCCAAUCAAGGCAGUUCGAAGAAUGAAAAGCUCCCCCUUGACUGCAGAAGAGGUAGCACGUAUUCAAGAGGGCCUAAAGAUUUUUAAGCUUGACUGGAUGUCCAUAUGGAAAUUUAUUGUUCCAUAUCGAGAUCCAUCCUUGUUACCCCGACAAUGGCGCAUUGCUACUGGAACACAGAAAUCAUAUAAGUUGACUGCAGACAAAAAAGAGAAGCGCAGAAUAUAUGAAUCAAAUAGAAGAAAGUGCAAACCUGCUGCUUUGGCAAGUUGGCAAACUUCAUCUGAAAAAGAGGGCUGUCAAACUGAUAACGCUGGUGGAGAAAAUAAUAGUGGAGAUGAUUGCGUGGAUAAUGAAGAUGAAGCAUAUGUUCAUGAGGCAUUUUUGGCUGAUUGGAGGCCUGGUGCCUCCUUUCCUCUUUCCUCUGGACUUCCUGUCUCAAAUCUUAAUGAAAGAAACCGACCCAGUGUUCUAGUGCCGCUAGGGGGUUGUCAUACCAUGGAACUAACAAAUAGUAGGGGCUCUGGAGAAUCUCAUCCCCAAAUUGGUGACGAGUUUCCAGCUGCAUUUAAGGAUUACCAGAAUCUGGAAACUUUCUCGCAUUUUACCCCUGCUAGAUGUUAUUCAUACCCCGUUCAGCCAAAUCAACCUGUUUCUCAUGUGAUUUUGAGACCUUCAAAGUCUCAAGUCUGUUCACGGCCAUAUCGAUCUCGUAGAACAAACACUGCUCACUUAGUGAAGUUAGCUCCAGAUUUGCCGCCUGUAAAUCUUCCACCAUCUGUCCGUGUGAUGUCUCAGUCAGCUUUCAAAAGUUAUCAAGGUGGAGUACCUUCUAAGGUUCCGGCUGCUGAUGCCAGUAGUGGUGCUGCUGCUGCAGAGAAAAUAGUUUCAUCUGUUCCUCACAAUGCAAAUUUAGGAAGCACUCAUCCAGCAAAAUAUACGGAGUACAAAAGACCCCCACCGGAAAAAACCAAUAUUAAUGAGCACCAACAAGAACCUUCUGUCCUCGGGGAUAAAUUUGCAGGAGAUAAAGGCGAAUCAGAUCUUCAGAUGCAUCCUUUACUGUUUCAGCCCUCUGGUGAUGGCCAUUUACCAUAUUACUCAUUUAAGAGCUCCAGUACUCAGAGGUCUUCCAAUUUCUUUUCACAAAUCCAGCCUCAGUUAAAUCUCACUCUCCUAUACAAUCCCCAUGAAGCAAACAAUGUAGUUAAUCGCUUUGAUAAAUCUUUGAAGUCAAAGAAAACAACCUCAUGUGCUGGCAGUAUUGAUUUUCAUCCACUUCUGCAAAUAGCUGAUGAUAUAAAUAUUCACUCAGAAACUGUGAAUUCGGUUGCCCAGGUAUCUGUUACUUUGGAACCAUUAGGAGGUGGUUGUGCUCAGCUUCAGACUCCAUUUGAUGCUACUCAGUCUAAAUCCCAAGUCAAUUGCAGUACAGUUGCCACUAGUACUAAAUCGUCUAGUCCUAAUGAAAAAGCUAAUGAACUGGACUUGGACAUUCACUUAAGUUUCAUAUCCAGGAAGGAGAAAGCUAUAGGUGGUAGAGAUGCGGCUGAACACAACCAAACCACCACUGAGAAUUCAUGUUAUCAGAAUAGUGGAUUUUGUCCAGGAGCCUCAAUUCCUAUCGGAGUCAGCAAGAAGCUUAAUUCAGCUGCCCAAGCUUUAGUUGCAUCGAACAAUAAUAGUUCUACAUAUGGAGUCAAUGAUGGAGGUGACCAGCCUCCUCUAGAAAUUGUGAUGGAACACGAAGAGUUGAGUGACUCUGAGGAAGAAAUUGGGGAACAGGUAGAGUUUGAAUGUGAGGAGAUGGAUGACUCUGAAGGAGAUGAAGGAUCCGAUUCUGAACAUAUGAUAGACGUACAAAAUGAGUGAAUUCAUGGCAUCAUCGAUCAUAGUUUUGUCUGUUUCAUAACCAUUGACUGCAAUCAACUUGGAGUUGCUCUGUCUGGGGAAGAUGGACACCGUAGGGGGCCCUUUUUUUUUUUUUUACUCAGAACCAUCUGCGGCAUUUGAUCUGAAGCAGAUGGGGAUGUAUCUCCUUUGGUAGGGGAAAAAAGAGAACAAAAGUGGGCAAGGAAAAUCAAGCAAGCAGCUCUCACAAAGGGGAAGGCUAGUUUCAGAAAAGAAGGGGUGCAUCAUGAGCGAGGGAGAGAGUACUGCCAUCUUACUGUCCUGCUGCAAAGACAAUCAUGCCUACAUCAUUUCUUGUGACUUUUACCUUUACCACUGAUGCGGAGGUCUCUAAUGUUGCGAGAGAGAAAGUAAUGAGAAAUUCUGAUUUUGAUGAUGACACUGCGAUGGGAGUACUAUUGAUAACCCAUUAACCUGCAAGGUAGCAUCUCUUGCGCCAUAGAGCGUGGCACUUCUAAGUUGGCUUUGAUGAUGCAAGGGAAAGGAAAGCCAACUACUUCUUCCUGCUCGAGUAUAAACUCUUCGGCUCCAGAUUGUUCACAGAAAAACAAGAUGAAACCCAAGGCUGCAGAGAAUGCAGGCAUACAAGUUUCGUGUGGCAAAAGUUUCCAACAACCCAGCCCCAACAGACCUUGGAAGAGUUCACUCCCACAUAGACAACAUAUCGCUAACUCAAAACAUGCUCAGAGCGUGGCACGGCAGCAAGAGAAAGGGCGGCAAAUGGGCUGUUCCAGGAAAAGUGUAAGUAGAAGUAAUUCCAGUUUAUUAUGUAUGGAUCCAGUCAGAAAAAGAGAUUCAAACAUAGAUACUAAUGUCACUGCAGAAGACUGCAAUUGCAUUUCUAACAUUGAAUUCAGGUGAUUAUGGCUAUGUUAUGACUUAUAUGUGUGGCGGAUGUAGUUGACUGACUCAACAAUCAACAUCCUGUUUAGAACCUAAGGUGGUGAAACCGGUGGAAGCAGACAAGAAGAGAAUUCUAUGGUGAGGCAGGCAGGUUCAUUUUUUGUAUUUUUGUUAGUAUCACGAUGUUGGUAAUUGAUUGUAUAAAGCAAAAUUAACAAUAUAUUUGUACAGGCUUUUUUGUU